Lepisosteus oculatus (spotted gar) is the source of this 8581-nucleotide non-coding RNA. Lineage: Eukaryota; Metazoa; Chordata; Actinopteri; Semionotiformes; Lepisosteidae. The record is from RefSeq and is a predicted model, not a curated record.
UGCAGGCAGACCGUGUUUAGUGAAAACCAAUUAAAGGAUCAGACCGUCUUCUAACAUUAGAGGCUAGGUAGUCAAUCACAAAAGGCGGCACAGUGCUGCAGCAGCUUUUCGCUUUUUUAUUCGUUAAAUUCUAUCUACAAAAGCAGAUCUUACAUAAAGCAAUCUGGGAACAAUGACUGCAUGGGCAGAUUGAUUGGCUCACACUCAUUGGACUGAAGCAACUCGGUUAAGUUAUUUGAUCCUCCUGUCUAGCCAGACAACUUCUCGAACUACCCUCGAAUUUCGAUUAACAUAGGCCAGUAAUUACCAUUCAAAAUGUAUCUUUAAAUUAGCCACCUUCUCCGUAAUGUAUUUAAAAUGCAAACGCAGUUCAGUGUUGCAACGAUUGGCCCCUUUUGUAUUCCCGAUCUGCUCGUUUUCGGUAAUAAUGGACGGCGUGCACGCAUAUAACACGUAAAAUAACCACUUUCACAACCAAUACUCCCGUUUUUGGUUGUGGUUAUCGUAGUUACAGCUAUACAGCUUUAAGAAUAUCUGCACAUUUAAUUCUGGGUGGUCUUCUAGCUCAGGAAAAAAAGUGGGCUAUAAUAAAUGACAGAACCUUUGAAACUUAUGCACAGCUUCGACUGAAAUUAAGUGAGAAGGUAGCACACGCCGGAGUGUAUGAUUGAUGAAGAAAAUGUAAGACUAUUGAUGCUGCCCCCAUUGAGCAGAUGUUGCCGGGAGAGACCGUGGUGCUGCAACAAGAGACAAGACGCGUCUUGGAUCACAAAUAGGAUCAGUGCGCAUGCUCCUUGCAUGCCCGUUUACUGUAUAUUCACUGUGAAAAAAGAGAACAGGCAACAAAACCAAGCUUUUUUACAGCAAAGUGACUUCUGCAAUACAAAUAACCUCUAGGGAAACAAAGAGGAAAAUCAACAGGGCUUUGGGUGUGAUGAAACAAAAGAACAAAGGAUGCCUUAGAAGAGAGACUGCUUUCAAGCCCAGACUGUAUUUUAAAGCACAUCAAUGGAUCUAUAUCUUCCCUGUGCUUCUAGAUCAUGAUACUUGAUUGAAGCUAUCUUCUUAUGAUCCCUCUAUCUAUGGCGAACUAUAGCCAUGCAGGUGACCACAACAUCUUGCAGAACGUGUCUCCUCUUGCCACUUUCCUCAAACUGACGUCCCUCGGUUUUAUCAUCGGAGUCGGCGUAGUUGGCAAUCUCCUGAUCUCUAUCCUUCUCGUCAAAGACAAAACCUUACACAGAGCACCUUAUUACUUCCUGCUGGAUCUUUGUGGCUCUGACAUACUCCGAUCUGCAAUUUGUUUCCCCUUCGUGUUCACUUCAGUGAAAAAUGGCUCGACCUGGACAUAUGGUACACUUACAUGCAAAGUAAUUGCCUUCCUAGGAGUAUUAUCUUGCUUUCACACUGCCUUUAUGUUAUUCUGCAUCAGUGUCACCCGGUACCUUGCUAUAGCCCACCAUCGGUUUUAUACAAAAAGGCUGACAUUCUGGACCUGUCUGGCUGUCAUCUGCAUGGUGUGGACUUUAUCAGUGGCUAUGGCUUUUCCUCCUGUUUUGGACGUGGGUACCUAUUCGUUUAUCAGGGAAGAAGAUCAAUGUACCUUCCAGCACCGAUCCUUCCGAGCCAAUGAUUCCCUGGGAUUUAUGCUACUCCUCGCCCUCAUCCUCCUUGCCACUCAGCUUGUCUACCUCAAGCUAAUCUUUUUCGUCCAUGACCGCAGAAAGAUGAAGCCUGUCCAGUUCGUGCCAGCCGUCAGCCAGAACUGGACAUUCCACGGUCCGGGGGCCAGUGGGCAAGCAGCGGCCAACUGGUUAGCCGGCUUUGGAAGAGGCCCAACCCCACCCACCCUGCUAGGAAUAAGGCAGAAUACCAACACAGCAGGCAGGAGGCGGCUUCUGGUGUUGGAUGAGUUUAAAACUGAAAAGAGGAUAAGCAGGAUGUUCUACAUCAUGACAUUCUUCUUUCUAACCUUGUGGGGCCCCUAUCUGGUAGCCUGCUAUUGGCGAGUCUUCGCCAGGGGGCCCGUAGUGCCAGGAGGGUACCUGACAGCUGCAGUCUGGAUGAGUUUUGCCCAGGCAGGAGUCAAUCCAUUUAUCUGCAUUUUCUCCAACAGAGAGCUGAGGCGCUGUUUCAGCACGACACUCCUCUACUGCAGAAAAUCCAGGUUACCUAGGGAACCCUACUGUGUUAUAUGAAGGAUUCUUUUUUUCUGAUUGAUCUCUGGUUUCUCCUGUUGUACAGCUCUCCUCUUCAACAGGCUGAAGUGGACUGUCAAUCAAUCUCUUCAAAAUAUGAUGAAACAACAAUUGGAGUGUUUGCAGAGCAUACGAAGAAAUGGAAAUUGAUAAGAAAUGGUGAAUCCUGGAAAACCUGUGUUUAUGUUCUAGUAAACCGUUGCUGUGGAAAUCUGUUUGAAAAAUCAACAACAAAAAAAAACAAAAGACUGAAUCCCCCUUCACUGGAUUGGUGAAGAUUAUUCUUUGAGGUAGGAGUUAUGAAUAAAAGAAGCAGAAGGUUAUCUCCAAUGAAUAAGUGAAUAUUGUUUUACAUCUUUUAAAAAAGUUGCACUAAAAGAAGAUGCUAAGAUGCUGAUUUGUUUAACAAUUGCAUUAAAAGAACUUCUCAGUUUUCUGAAAAAACAAAACAAAACAAAUGAAAAAGCAACACUUUAUUUUACAACAGAUUUUUCAUUUGUAAAGCAAAGUGUGUCCUGGGUGGCCAACAUUGUUGGAUUACACCUACACAAGAGGAGUUUGAUUUCAAUAAAGAUGACCUGGAGAAAACUCACGCAGCAGGGCAUUUUACAGGAGCAGUCUGAUCGAAGUACUUUGCUCGAGGGCACAACAGCAGCACCCUGGACUUGACCUGAGGGAAACCAGCUGCAUGAAGCUGCUUAAUAUACUUUUGUAACUACAUGUUCUAUUAUUAUGACAUUUUUGCAUUUCCCAUAUAAUGAGACACUUCUGUGCCUUCAUUCCUGUUUUCAACUGCAGGCUGAGUGCAGAGCGUUGCUAAAGGAUACAAGAGUAGUGCUCUAUCCAGAAUUUGAACCCACAACUUUACAGCCCUAACUACCACAUUAUACUGCUUCCUAGUUUCCCUUAGGUUUGAUUUUCAUUGACAUUAAGAAAUUAUUUCAGCUGCUUAUUAUCACACAGGUGAGAUUUGCAGUGACAAUAACAGCUAUUUUGGACAUGGUGUACAGAGUUGUGUAAACAAAACUGUGGGAGGAGGGCAAAUUGUAAUCUCGCACUUCCUGUCUCUUAUAUAUACAGUACAUACUCACCUGCUACAGUAUGUACUUCUUUUCACACAUUUUCUAGCAUUCUCCUCUCCCAUCUUCACCUUUGCAGCUGCCUCACUGGUUCAUUCCUCAUAAGUAAGGGGGGUUGUGACAACUCUGAUCUUACAGCCAAGGCUGUUAUUUCCUCAGCAGGGCAAGUCAACAUCAAACACUAAAGUAUUAAGUACAUUAUUCCUUAAUAUUCGUUGGGCCUUUUCAUUGCAAUUAUAAUUUGGCCAAGCUAUUUAACUACAGGCCUUUUAUGAGCAAAACACACAGAAGAACACAGUGAUCGUUUUACCAUAUUGUCCACUCAGUCUAGUAUAAAUAUCUUAUAAUAUUUCUCCUAAUAUUCCUAUGUGUUUGUCUUUAAAAAUGUUAUCUUAUUGUGGAAAAUUUAAAGUUCCAGGAGUACAAAACAAUGUAAGGGAACUGUGAACACUUCAGCAAUUGAUGUGAGGGAGUUUCUGACUUUAUAAACUUUUUAAUAAGGCCAAAUGUAACUCUAGUAUUUAUAUCUUCAAUUAUAUGAAUCAGAUACAUAUUGAAUUAAAACAAAAUAUGGUAAAAUGUCCACAUUCAGAAAUAUUUAAUUUAAGAUAAUUCAUUUUCUUACCACAAGGACACAGCAUAUUUUAAACCACUGUUGGAUUUAAAAUCAGCAGUGAGCAAUUAUACAAUAAUAAGGAUAACAGUUUGUUGCGAAAGUAAUGGAGAUAAAAGCCGAUGGAUGUUAAAAACUAUUAAUCCAGCAAAGCAAAAUAAUAUGGUAAAAUAUUGUUGCUCAGUUUGUUUACAGUGUAGGAAAAAUGGCAGACAUAAUUGAAUUGGAUUGAAUUUGUAUGAUAUAUUUAUGUCAAAUUCCCUAUAUUGUUAUAAAAUCAAAAUCUUUCAGUUGUCAUAAAUUAAGUCUUUCUCCACACAUAUAACUGUAUUCCUCUAGUGAUACUGAGCAUAUUUCACGAGGAAUAAUGACAUCUGAGAAUCAGGCGCUUUGUGAAUGUUUAUUGAGUAUCUUAUUUUUAAUUAGUUUGCUUUAAUCUGCUUGAUUAACUUUGGUUUCAAAUGUUCGGAAAUACCCUGUUCAUUUUCUUCACAGUCAUCUGUACAGGGCUGCGAACAAAAUUAAUACUGUAUAUAGGCUAAAUCCUUUCCCCCUGACUUGUCUGGAUAUCACUUCCAAUGUUUUGAACAAUCCUGUGAAUGGCCUCUUCACUCACAGAAGACUUCUGAAAUACUCCAGUUUAAAUGAAAAGAUUCACUAAAAAGCAGUGUUGCUUAUCCUUUCAUGUUUUAAAAUAACUGUCACAGUUGAAAAUAAACGUGUUAUAUCUCCCAACAAGCAUACCAGAAUAUGCAAAAGGCAAAAAGCUGUAGCAUGAAACUCAUAAAAAAUAAGAUAAUUAUCAGUCCCUUUAGGUCUCCAUAAACAAUGUGUUACUGGAUUUAUCAUCAGUCUUGCUUAUGCCUAUUAUGGAUGACUAGGGCACCAGAAUGCAAAUUCUUUGGUAGGUAGUUCUAAAACGUAGAAACACAAGAAUCAAUCAAGAGGGAAACAUUCACCCCAUAUAGCCUGCUUGGUUGCUAGUUAAUGAUUCCUAUUUUUGUGCUAGGACUGCUUCCAGCUGUUUCAUGAAAGUAGCCAUAUAAGAAGUACACUUGCUCUGUUUCAAAUGCACCUUGUGUCGAGUGAUAUUCCAGAGUUCAUUUUUCGGGUUUCAUUGCUGAUUGUAAAGAAAGUCAUUGAGUUGACUUUGUCAGUUCAUUUGAGUAUUUUCAAUACUUGAAUCGGGUCGCUUCUUGUCUUCUGUUCCAAUCUAAAAACAUUCUCUUUAAGCAUGCCAGAUGAGGACUCCAUUGAGCUUGGGAAUGUGCUUAUUUGGUCUUCGCUGGACUAAGUUCAAUGGAUCAAAAUAUUUUUGUAUUCUCAUCUCCAAAAUUAAAAAUUGUAUUUAAAUCUUAGUAGUGCAUCAUACAUCACAUCACAUCACAUCACAUCACAUCACUUUCAAUAACCGCUUAUCCAAUUCAGAACCGGAGCCUAGCCUCAGAAGCUAGUUAGCCUAUCAACAUUUCUUCGGACUAGAGCUAGCCCAUGUGAACACGGGGAAAAAAUAUAAACACCACACAGAUAGGGGCCCAGAAAUCGAACCCAGGCCCCAGUCCUGCGAGUCAGCAAUGCUUGCCACUGGGCCACUGUGCCAACCGGUUCAUUGUUCAAUUUAACAUAAUUUCGUUACAUUUAAAAUCUUACUUAAAUUUAAAUUUAAAACGUCUUAACAUUGUUUGCCUGUUAAAUGUCUUCCACACAUUGUCUGGAAGAUGUAAAUUUUGUCAACACAGAGAUUUAACCUCUAUCCAGAAGGAGACUCUUCAUAUUUCUCAUUUAACAUCUAUAGUUUAUAUUUCUGCUACCUACUGUACUUGCAACAAUCUGCACUUGAGCUCAUUCACCAAUUUUCUUUCUUGCUAAUCCUCCUACUGUAUAUUUGUAUAAUCUGUCAAUGUAAUUGGUUUACUUACUACACAGGAAUCUAGAUCACUGAUAUGAAUUAGGAAGAAUAGUGGUCCUAGCACAGAUCCCUGUGGUACUUCACUAGUUACAGCACACCAACAUGACCAUUCAUCCCUUAUCUGUGCUGUCUUUUUUGUAUCUGACUAGUUCUCAAAUUCAAAAUACAUGCAUUUGUGUGAACAUCUACUGCCAGCCAAGUUUUUUGAGGAAAUUUAUCAUAUGUCUUCUGAAAAUGUAAAUAUAUAGUACCAUAUCAUAUACUUUGUAGCCAUCACUGCUGUUGCUUGUUCAAAGUAUUAUAACAAGUUAGUUAAGAAAGGCCUAAUUUUUUUAACUCCUUUCUGGAUAAUCUUUAAAAUGCUGAACACAGAUUAUUCACUAGUUUAGUUAUAAAUAUUGUUCCAUAAUCUGAGUCGGGAUAGAAGCAAUAAUUAUUAGCUUACAUUUAUCUGAAUCAGUUAGUCACCCUUUCAUGGGUAGGCGCUGCAUUAGAAAUAUUCCAGUCUUUGACUGUUAAAAGAACAGUCUAAGAACAACGUCACUCAUUCUUAAGUACAUGUAUUAGAAUACAGUCAGGCAUCAGAUUUGUUUAUCUGGAACAUUCUUGUACCUGCAACACUUCUACAGUUUUUAAAAUAUAAUUUUGGGUUUCAUCUUGCUCAGGCUUAGGCAUGCUACUGUAUUUAGUUUUUCUUUGGGAAAAAUUGUGUGUGAAAUAGAUAUUUUAUGUAUUAGUCAUUUUCACUUCAUCUUGUAAAAGUUUACAUUUUUAUCUGUGACACCUUACUUCAUACUCUACAGUUCUUUUGCUGUUGCAAUAUAAUAUUACAGCUAAACUUUUAUAAUUAAUUUUAACCUCCCGUGCAAUAUUAAUUUAAUAUCUAUUCUUGGAUUUUCCAAUAAGGCUGCUUGCCUGUGUUUGGAAUUUGUUGUCCUUCCUGUCUGUAAUUGCAUGAUAUUUUUUUUCUAUCAUUUUAUAAAGUAUUUUCUAUCUUCUUUUAUUUUUCUUGAAGUGUUUGUUAAAUAAUUUAGGAUACAGCUUUCUAGACUUGGAACAGAAUCCCAUUGUGGUAUCUGUUCUUUGCUUCAAGCAGAAUUUCUUUAAAGUGUUGUCAUUCAUCUUCUGAUUAUUUCAUAUCAUAUUAUUUCAUUCUACUUCUCUUAAGCUCUAUUUCCUUCUUUUAUAAUCCAUACUUUCUGAACUUUUGUUCUGGACUGUACUUGUAAAAUAUCAAAAUGAUUUAAAAAUGUCCCAAAUUCUGAUCGUGAUUCCCUGAUGGUUCUCUCACCUUUGGUUCCUCACUUUAAUUUAAUUGAAAAAACUGCAUCAACACUGGCAUUCUGAAAUGUAAGAGUUUGAAUUGGAAUAUGGACGCUAUGUCUACAAUUUCAAUUUGGUUUUCAGACAUCACUAAUGGCAUUCUAAUCUGUGUUAAUAAAAUGAAAAACUCCCACAAUGUUCACUUCUUCCUUUGCACUAACUGUACCACCCUGCUUUCAUUACACUGUAUACAACUGCAAUAUGAUUCACAACUGAAUUGUUGAAUUUGGUUGUGUGUGAUUUAUACCUGAAAGCAUGUACUUUGAAAGUCCAACCCAUAUAGUUUCUAAAACACUUAAUUCAUUUAUGCUUACUUAUUUAAGAGUUCAUGCUACACCCCCUCUUCCAUUUUUCCUUACUCUUUGGAAAGAUAUGUAUCCACUAAUGUUGUAUAUCAACACUGUAUUUCAAUGUCAUUUUCUGUGAGCUACUCUGUGUUCAAGUGAUUCCCAUUACCUCGUGGAUGCUAAUGCACUAAGUACUACUUCUUAGAUUUUCUUCCUGAUCCUCCUGACAUUUAGGUUUAAACAUAAAAAUAUCUGGUUGUUUGACAUUUUGUUUUGCCCCGGUUUUCUUGUGUUGACUCUACUGCAUCCUGCUUGCAGAUUUUCUUAGGACUUUCCCUGAUUUCCAUUGUAGUGUAAAUUUUUUUGAAUUUCUUUGCAUAUCCUGUCUCAUUAAGGUGUAAUCCAUUGCACAAUGUGCUGUGUUUCUCCGUUGUUCAUCUUUGCAUGGUGUGGACAGAAUCCACAAGAAGACCACUGAUUUGGUCAUGCUGUUCAUGUAUAAAGUGUUCAGUUUAUGAAAGUGUUAUUUGUCUUCAUACGAACAGCAGUAAUUGGGUCUUCACUAGCUUUUGCUGGGAGCUUUUCUGCUCUAUACAGUAGCUUGCUGUUGUUGACUCAGAGUCCUGGACACAUAUUUCAUUUAGACUGUUUUUGAGAAUGCAGUCAGCUACAGUCACCGCUUCUCUUUGUCUUGUGCUUUUAAUGGCACCAGCACUUACUGAAGCUGUUGCAACUGUGAUUCCUUUAUUUGUAAUAGUGCUGUCCUGGGAGCUGCUCCCCUGCCAUUGAGAGUCUUGACUGUCUUUCUCCUGGUCCUAGUCUGGAGAAAACCCAUCCGGCGAUAUGAUGUUAGGUUUAAAGGGCCAUGUCAUGAUAGUCUAUUCCUUUACUUCUAUUGACAGGCUGGGACCGGAAAAUCUGGAUCUCUCUGUCAUCUCCUCUGUGUUGUUGGUCUCACCAUAUGGGGUGUGUACCUCCAUAGAUGUGGGAUAUGACAGUUCCUACAUGUUUCUGAGUUCCUGUAGCUCCAUCUUGGGUGCUUUCACUUUUUCUAAGAAGAACUGGAUUUUGUGGCAUUUUUCACAGAUGUUGUUAGGAAUUUAACAUAAUUUUCCAGAAGAAUUAAACUCUCCCUUUAUUUCUGUCUUUUGUAACUAAAGCUGUCCUCUAAA